Molecule: non-coding RNA, 1986 nt
Organism: Chlorocebus sabaeus (green monkey)
Lineage: Eukaryota; Metazoa; Chordata; Mammalia; Primates; Cercopithecidae
Source: RefSeq, a predicted model, not a curated record
GGAUACAAUGAGAAGGUGGCAGUCUACACGCAGAAAAAAAGUCCCUCACCAUAACCCUACCGUGUUAUCACCUUGAUGUCGGACCAACCUCCAGAACUGUGAGAAAUAAAUUUCUGUUGUGAUUAGUCACCCAGUUUAGGGUACAUUGUUAUAGAAGGCCGAACUAGCACAGAGAUGGAAUCCCAUGGAGGGUCUCUAAUUUGCUAAGCUGGUCAUCAGGCGGGAUGUUGCAAGUCAGAAACAGGAAGAGUUGACUUUUUGUGCAUAUGAAAGAAGAUAGUGGACAGGCCCAUUGUGUCGACUUUGUCCGCUUUGGCAAACUGGAGACGGAAACUGGAUUCACCUUCGCCAGCCACGGGAGGACCCGGAGGACCUUCCAAGGAGGUUAGGUCGACUUCGUGGUAACUUUAGAUCCUGCAACCACACAGGAUUUUUCUUGUCCUCCCUGUGAUCUCUCUUCUGCCUACCCAACAGGACAGGACAGCACACCGCCUUUCUUUCCCGUCAGAAAAGGGAAAGGACCGAAGUGAACAGCCGGUUUCCCCUACGUGUCCUUCCGGGCCUGGGCGUCUCGGGAGCUCAGGCUGACCCGAGACCUAACUCCUGGCGAGUGGGACCAACAGGAUCCUGGAAGAGCGCGCGCACCGGGGUGGAGGUUCGGCGCCGAGGGUCGAGAACCGCAGUCAAACCCUGUUCUUCCCCGCGCACCGCGCACCUGCCCCCGGGGAUGCCGAAGGAAGUGGCCCAUAAAACUUCUCUGCAACCAAAAGAGGCCUGAAGCUCCAGGAGAGGGCGAGAGGAGCCUCGUUGAGUGAACCCAGCCCUCUGCCUGGCUGGCCCUGGUCAACAGGCUCGGAAGAGGCCGAUUUGGAGGACAGAACGGAAGAAAAGACUUAAAGGUUUCGAAUCUCAUGAUAUGGAGAUGUUAAAAGCCUCCGAUCCUAAGGGCCGAUUGUACCGGGGAGCGAGGGUGUCUCCAGCUGGAUGGAGCCCUGAGCCUUCAUCUGGAGAGUCCUCUGCACAAGUUCAGAGAGCACGACAACCCGCAGCAAUGGUUCUCAAGAGGGGGCAACUUCGCCCUUACACGCCUCUCCCAUCCUCGCUGGGACACUAGGCCACGACUGGGGGAAGCGGGGAGGGAGAAUGUUAACCCCCGGCUUGUAUCUAGUCAGCGGAGGGACGGAUGCUGCUAAACACCUUACAAUCCACCGCGGGAGGGCCCCUCCCCCGCCCGGAAAUAGCCAUUCGGCAGAGGAGGAGAAACUCGCGUGUAGAUCAAUGCCACGCACUUGGCCGAUGGGAACUCACGAAUGGGUGACCAAUUGGAUCUCGGAUCUGAGGAUAAAACUCCAGCGUCAGAGGGAAGUCUGGAAGUUUUGUCCGGAGCAAACGCAAGGGUGGCGUUGCCUUCGCGGAAGAUGGGAAAAUGGCAGGUGUCACAGGUUGCAGGGGAAGGUCGGAGACCAGCUGAGGGCCCCGGAGCCUUCCUGGAAAGACUUUCCCAUCCAGCCCGUCUCGGUUUCCGCAUCCGUCUGAUUCCUUAUGAUGUUGAGGGUGCCAGGUUCUGUGUCCUUUAUGAUGCAGAGGGUGCCCCCGUCUCACCCCGGGCGCCUCCCGGCUCCCGCCGCCUCCUGGCAAUCUGGUGCGCGGCUCCCGACCUGGCGACCCGCGACUGUCUGGUCAUUUACUGCCGCCUCGCAAAGGCGCAUCUCUAGUUCAGUGGUGAGCUGCGGCCGGGUCGCUGCAACUCGCUGCAGGACUUGGGACUCCUGACCUUGGUGUCCCUCUCGGAGCCCUCGGUGUGUCGCCUGCAGGCUCUCUUUUUUGAAGAAAGCAGGGAUGGAAGAGCCUUGUGAGACGACUCCAGGAGCAAAGAGCGACCCUCACAAGGUCCAAGUCCUCCCAGAGCACAGGGAAACUGUGGCUUCAGAGCAAAGAAGGGAGAGCAAGGGACCUUGUGUAUGUCCCUGGUGGUCUAGUGGCUAG